UACGGAGGGUGCAAGCGUUAAUCGGAAUUACUGGGCGUAAAGCGCGCGUAGGCGGUUAUGUAAGCUAGAUGUGAAAUCCCCGGGCUUAACCUGGGAACUGCAUUUAGAACUGCAUGGCUAGAGUUUUGGAGAGGAGAGUAGAAUUCCCGGUGUAGCGGUGAAAUGCGUAGAGAUCGGGAGGAAUACCAGUGGCGAAGGCGGCUCUCUGGCCAAAAACUGACGCUGAGGUGCGAAAGCGUGGGGAGCAAACAGG
Molecule: unclassified non-coding RNA, 253 nt
Filed under: uncultured Hahellaceae bacterium
Lineage: Bacteria; Pseudomonadati; Pseudomonadota; Gammaproteobacteria; Oceanospirillales; Hahellaceae
Description: contains 16S-23S intergenic spacer region
Rfam family: Bacterial small subunit ribosomal RNA
Source: RNAcentral